AGGGGUAUAGCUCAAUUGGCAGAGCAUCGGUUUCCAAAACCGAAGGUUGGGGGUUCGAUUCCCUCUGCCCCUGCCA
RNAcentral lists this transfer RNA (76 nucleotides) under Zoogloeaceae bacterium. RNAcentral describes it as "tRNA-Trp". It matches the Rfam family "tRNA". From Rfam's summary of the family: Transfer RNA (tRNA) molecules are approximately 80 nucleotides in length. The record is from RNAcentral. Lineage: Bacteria; Pseudomonadati; Pseudomonadota; Betaproteobacteria; Rhodocyclales; Zoogloeaceae.